Molecule: ribosomal RNA, 445 nt
Filed under: uncultured bacterium
Lineage: Bacteria
Description: SSU rRNA
Rfam family: Bacterial small subunit ribosomal RNA
Source: RNAcentral
AGAGCGAACGCUGGCGGCAGGCCUAACACAUGCAAGUCGAGCGCCGUAGCAAUACGGAGCGGCAGACGGGAGAGUAACACGUGGGAACGUACCCUUCAGUUCGGAACAACCCAGGGAAACUUGGGCUAAUACCGAAUACGUCCGUAAGGAGAAAGAUUUAUCGCUGAAGGAUCGGCCCGCGUCUGAUUAGCUUGUUGGUGAGGUAAUGGCUCACCAAGGCUACGAUCAGUAGCUGGUCUGAGAGGAUGAUCAGCCUCACUGGGACUGAGACACGGCCCAGACUCCUACGGGAGGCAGCAGUGGGGAAUAUUGGACAAUGGGCGCAAGCCUGAUCCAGCCAUGCCGCGUGGGUGAUGAAGGCCCUAGGGUUGUAAAGCCCUUUCGGCGGGGAAGAUAAUGACGGUACCCGCAGAAGAAGCCCGGCUAACUUCGUGCCAGCAGCCGC